RNAcentral lists this unclassified non-coding RNA (507 nucleotides) under Hevea brasiliensis (rubber tree). Lineage: Eukaryota; Viridiplantae; Streptophyta; Magnoliopsida; Malpighiales; Euphorbiaceae. The record is from RNAcentral.
AAAAAAAAAAAAAAAACUUGCCUAUUCAUAACGGGAACACCUUCUCAGCUUAAAAAACUUAGAGAAGAAUUUGAGAUUGCUUGGUCAGUGUCUAAGUUGAAAGCAAUAUCUUGAUUGAUGUUGGCACCUUAUUUUCAUAUGACCGAUCAAUAUAAGCACCAUAAACAUGUAUGCAAUCAGUCAUGCUUCAAGUUUCACCGUGCUUGACACCUCAAGCCUAUGUGAGAUGAAAAUCUUUGAUCAUUGUCCUCUGCUGCUAGGAACUUCUCCAAGGAUGUCAUAUUCAUAAAGAAUGAGAACCAGAAACUGUGAACUCGAAUAAACUUAACCUUAGUUUGCUAUGUUUUGUGUCUAUGCCUCAUUAAAGUUUCGUGACUUUCUCGAAUAAGUUCAGCUACUGUGAUUUCUAAAAUGAGGACUUUAAUGUCCUUGGAAGUUGCAUAAAAUGUUUAUAUGGCUUCUAUGCAGGUUCUUGGCACAGGUAUGUCUGCUAAGAUGUGGGAAGUA